RNAcentral lists this ribosomal RNA (498 nucleotides) under uncultured bacterium. RNAcentral describes it as "partial 16S ribosomal RNA". It matches the Rfam family "Bacterial small subunit ribosomal RNA", at positions 30 to 523 of the family's 1533-position model. The record is from RNAcentral.
AUUGAACGCUGGCGGAAUGCUUUACACAUGCAAGUCGAACGGUAACAGGUCUUCGGAUGCUGACGAGUGGCGAACGGGUGAGUAAUAUAUCGGAACGUGCCCAGUCGUGGGGGAUAACGUAGCGAAAGUUACGCUAAUACCGCAUACGAUCUAUGGAUGAAAGCGGGGGAUCGCAAGACCUCGCGCGAUUGGAGCGGCCGAUAUCAGAUUAGGUAGUUGGUGGGGUAAAGGCUCACCAAGCCAACGAUCUGUAGCUGGUCUGAGAGGACGACCCGGCAAACUGGGACUGAGACACGGUCCAGACUGCUACGGGAGGCAGCAGUGGGGAAUUUUGGACAAUGGACGCAAGUCUGAUCCAGCCAUUCCGCGUGCAGGAUGAAGGCCCUCGGGUUGUAAACUGCUUUUGAACGGAACGAAAAAGUCUCUAUUAAUACUAGGGGCUCAUGACGGUACCGUAAGAAUAAGCACCGGCUAACUACGUGCCAGCCGCCGCAGUAA